This 860-nucleotide long non-coding RNA is filed under the name Homo sapiens (human). Its description in RNAcentral is "HSALNT0218167". The record is from RNAcentral. Lineage: Eukaryota; Metazoa; Chordata; Mammalia; Primates; Hominidae.
UCUCGACUCACCGCGGCCUCCACCUCCCGGGUUUAGGUGGUUCUCCUGCCUCAGCCUCCUGAGUGUCUGGGAUUGCAGGCAUGAGCCACCAUGCCAGCUAAUUUUGGUUUUAUUUUUUUGGUACAGACGGGGUUUCUCCGUGUUGGUCAGGCUGAUCUCGAGCUCCUGACCUCGAGUGAUACGCCCGCCUCCGCCUCCCUGGGUGCUGGGAUUGCAGGCGUGAGCCACCGCGCCCCCGGUCCAAUUUAGUAACCAGAAAGGAAUAGAUCUGCCUGGCGUGGUGCCUCCCCCUUGUGAUCCCAGGACUUUGGAAGGCCGAGUGUGGCAGAUCGCUUGAGCCUAGGAGUUCCAGACCGCCUGGGCAACAUGGUGAAACCCGGUCUCUGUUUUGAGACGGAGUUUCACCCUUGUUGUCCAGGCUGGAGUGCAAUGGUGUGAUCUUUGCCCACCGCAACCUCGGCCUCCCGGAUUUAGGUGAUUCUCCUGCCUGGGCCUCCCUAGUAGCUGGGAUUACAGGCAUGAGCCACCAUAUCCGGCUAAUUUUGUAGUUUUUUUCUUUUUUUUAGUAGAGACGGGAUUUCUUCAUGUUGGUCAGGCUGGUCUCCGACCUCGGGUGAUCCGCCCACCUCUGCCUUCCAAAGUGCUGGGAUUGCAGGCCUGAGCCACUGCGCCCGACGGAAACCCAGAACGGAAAACAAAACAAAAACCACAAAGAUUAGCCGGGUGUGGUGGGCCGCGCAGGUAGUCCCAGCUACUCUGAAGGCUGAUGGAGGAGGAUUGCUUCACCCCGGCUUCUAGGUGGCAGUGAGCUAUGAUGGCGCUGCUGCACUCCAGACUGGGCGACAGAGCGGGACUCUGUG